Heligmosomoides polygyrus is the source of this 72-nucleotide non-coding RNA. The record is from Rfam. Lineage: Eukaryota; Metazoa; Nematoda; Chromadorea; Rhabditida; Heligmosomidae.
GCGCUGGUGGUGUAAGGUGUAGCAUCGCUGCACGGAAAGCAGAAGGUACGGGUUCAAGUCCCGCCUGGCGCA